AGUGAACGCUGGCGGUAGGCCUAACACAUGCAAGUCGAACGGCAGCACAGUAAGAGCUUGCUCUUACGGGUGGUGAGUGGCGGACGAGUGAGGAAUACAUCGGAAUCUACUUUUUCGUGGGGGAUAACGUAGGGAAACUUACGCUAAUACCGCAUACGACCUACGGGUGAAAGCAGGGGAUCUUCGGACCUUGCGCGAUUGAAUGAGCCGAUGUCGGAUUAGCUAGUUGGCGGGGUAAAGGCCCACCAAGGCGACGAUCCGUAGCUGGUCUGAGAGGAUGAUCAGCCACACUGGAACUGAGACACGGUCCAGACUCCUACGGGAGGCAGCAGUGGGGAAUAUUGGACAAUGGGCGCAAGCCUGAUCCAGCCAUACCGCGUGGGUGAAGAAGGCCUUCGGGUUGUAAAGCCCUUUUGUUGGGAAAGAAAAGCAGCAGGUUAAUACCCCGCUGUUCUGACGGUACCCAAAGAAUAAGCACCGGCUAACUUCGUG
RNAcentral lists this ribosomal RNA (492 nucleotides) under uncultured bacterium. Its description in RNAcentral is "partial 16S ribosomal RNA". It matches the Rfam family "Bacterial small subunit ribosomal RNA", at positions 29 to 507 of the family's 1533-position model. The record is from RNAcentral.